GUUUUUAUAGAUUUUUUAGGUCUAUGUUACAAUAUUAAUACUGAAUUCUUUUGGUAAAUAAUAAUAGGAUACCAAGCCUAAGCUUGAUUAUGACUCGGUUAACAUUCUGCUGGCCUACCCAUAUAGCCAGCAAACAUUCCUCAAGCGUCAAAUAAUAAUACAGUUCACAGUAAAUAAAAUAUUGCUAACCGAAGCUAGAAUAUCAAAUUAUUUAAUGAUCCUUCCGCAGGUUCACCUACGGAAA
This 244-nucleotide unclassified non-coding RNA is filed under the name uncultured fungus. RNAcentral's name for it is "sequence contains ITS1". Lineage: Eukaryota; Fungi. The record is from RNAcentral.